AUUGAACGCUGGCGGCAGGCUUAACACAUGCAAGUCGAACGGUAACGGGUUGAAAGCUUGCUUUCAAUGCUGACGAGUGGCGGACGGGUGAGUAAGGCUUGGGGAUCUGGCUUUUGGAGGGGGAUAACCAUUGGAAACGAUGGCUAAUACCGCAUAGUAUCGAGAGAUGAAAGGGGUGGGAAACCACUUGCCAAGGGAUGAACCCAAGUGAGAUUAGGUAGUUGGUGGGGUAAGGGCCUACCAAGCCGACGAUCUCUAGCUGGUCUGAGAGGAUGGCCAGCCACACUGGGACUGAGACACGGCCCAG
RNAcentral lists this ribosomal RNA (307 nucleotides) under uncultured bacterium. RNAcentral's name for it is "bacterial SSU rRNA". It matches the Rfam family "Bacterial small subunit ribosomal RNA", at positions 30 to 334 of the family's 1533-position model. The record is from RNAcentral.